RNAcentral lists this ribosomal RNA (371 nucleotides) under uncultured eukaryote. RNAcentral describes it as "partial 18S ribosomal RNA". It matches the Rfam family "Eukaryotic small subunit ribosomal RNA", at positions 592 to 976 of the family's 1831-position model. The record is from RNAcentral.
CAAUAGCGUAUAUUAAAGUUGUUGCAGUUAAAAAGCUCGUAGUUGAAUUUCUGUCAGGAGUGACCGGGCCUUUGGAUGAACUUCCAUUGUUUUUUGCUCUGUUUGUCAUCUCUAGACAUCCUGAAAUAUUUUUUAAAAAUAUUUCUCUUUUACUGUUAGCAAAAUAGAGUGUUCCAAGCAAAGCGUAGUUUUGAAUACAUUAGAAUGGAAUAAUAAGAUAGGACUUUGGAGCUAUUUUGUUGGUUUGCACACCAAGGUAAUGAUUAAUAGGGACAGUUGGGGGUAUUCGUAUUUAAUUGUCAGAGGUGAAAUUCUUGGAUUUAUGAAAGACGAACUACUGCGAAAGCAUUUACCAAGGAUGUUUUCAUUAA